GACAGAGGUGCCGAGCGUUAGGCGGAAUCACUGGGCUUAAAGCGUGUGUAGGCGGAUCGUUAAGUGUCUUGUGAAAUCCCCCGGCUCAACCGGGGAACGGCUGGGCAUACUGGCGAUCUUGAGCGGCCUAGGGGCAGAUGGAACAGACGGUGGAGCGGUGAAAUGCGUAGAUAUCGUCUGGAACGCCAAAGGUGAAAACAGUCUGCUGGGGGCCUGCUGACGCUGAGACACGAAAGCCAGGGGAG
RNAcentral lists this ribosomal RNA (245 nucleotides) under uncultured Singulisphaera sp. RNAcentral's name for it is "partial 16S ribosomal RNA". It matches the Rfam family "Bacterial small subunit ribosomal RNA", at positions 524 to 768 of the family's 1533-position model. Lineage: Bacteria; Pseudomonadati; Planctomycetota; Planctomycetia; Isosphaerales; Isosphaeraceae. The record is from RNAcentral.